Molecule: long non-coding RNA, 1139 nt
Filed under: Anser brachyrhynchus (Pink-footed goose)
Lineage: Eukaryota; Metazoa; Chordata; Aves; Anseriformes; Anatidae
Description: lncRNA (ENSABRG00000017479.1)
Source: RNAcentral
AUGGACGCGGAUAGCUCACGGGCUUGGCUAUCCGGACUCCACCCGUGCUUCGCCUGUACGCUUUUGUCCCCUACCUUUCCAAAGUCCAGUCUAAACUUCAUCAUUUCACAGUUACGCGCCCUCGCUAUUUUAGUGAGUAUUCCUAGCACAGCAUCGUUUCUGAGAAGACGAAAGCACGUAGACACACAGAGUUUAGUGAAUCGCCAGCUUCUGCGCGCCCUCGUCUCCCUGGUGCUCCAUGCACUUCGGAGGGAUGCACGGCUCGGAUGGUGCUUUAAUCGCGCCGCACAGCGCCCCGCGGGCUCCACGCUUGGGGACCUGGGGAAGCACCGCGGGGGCGGCAGGAGACCUGGGCCGUCAAAUGGAAACGCGUGUGCCGAGGGGCGGAGGGGGCCCGCUGGAGCUUCUCGGCUACCUCGGUCGCCGCCGGUGAGGACAGAGCCCCUUUCUUCCCCCUCGCCCCUCUGCGAGGGACCGGCCGCGCUGCAGCUACCCCUGCUCCGAGCUUCUGCGAAACGUCCGAGGGGCAACGGCAGCAGGAGGGCUGCGGGGGCCGGCCAGGGGUCACCCCGACGCCGCCCGUCGCCUCGGCUCCCCGCUACCGUGGCCACCGAGGGGCGGCCGGGGCCGGGCGCCCCGGCGGGUCCCGCAGCGAAGCCCAGGAGGGCGGUCUGCGCCCGGGCCCUGGCUUUGGGGGGCGCCAGGGCCCCAGGUGGGUGCUGUGGGAACAGCGAACCCUCCGGCUGGCUCCGAGCCGGCUUGCGCUCCACGCUUCGCGAAGGGCCGCAGCUCCGCCCCGGCGGGAGCGCGGGCGGCGUGUGCGCGGGGCUGCACGCAUCCUGCCCUGCACCCCCCGGCCCCGCACGGCUCCGGUCCCUCCGCGGAGCCCCCGCCUCCGCUUUCCGUGAUGAGGGUCGGUGCCCGCCCGGGGCGCGAGCGUGGGGCUCGGCGGUCGCGCUCCGCCAGGCACGGUCGCGCUGCCGCUGCCCUCGGCUUCCGUCGGGGUGAGGUGCGUGUUCCCCGCGCCGCUGCCCGCCGUGCUUUCGCGCGAAUUGACAGCAGCUGCCAGGAGUGCCGGCUGGAGGGAAACAGCGGAGGUGGCAAAUAAAAAUAUUUGGAGAUGAGGCUACUGAAGGGAA